GUAGGGAAUAUUGCGCAAUGGACGAAAGUCUGACGCAGCGACGCCGCGUGAGUGAUGAAGGCCUUAGGGUCGUAAAGCUCUGUUGAAUGGGAAGAAAAAAAUGACGGUACCAUUCGAGGAAGGACCGGCUAACUUCGUGCCAGCAGCCGCGGUAAUACGAGGGGUCCUAGCGUUGUUCGGAAUCAUUGGGCGUAAAGGGUGUGUAGGUGGCCAUGUAAGUCAGGUGUGAAAGCCCCGGGCUCAACCCGGGAAGUGCACUUGAUACUGCGUGGCUUGAGUACCGAAGAGGGUAGUGGAAUUCCAGGUGUAGUGGUGAAAUACGUAGAUAUCUGGAGGAACACCGGUGGCGAAGGCGGCUACCUGGUCGAGUACUGACACUGAGACACGAAAGCAUGGGGAUCAAACAGGAUUAGAAACCCGGGUAGUCC
RNAcentral lists this ribosomal RNA (428 nucleotides) under uncultured bacterium. RNAcentral's name for it is "bacterial SSU rRNA". It matches the Rfam family "Bacterial small subunit ribosomal RNA", at positions 354 to 796 of the family's 1533-position model. The record is from RNAcentral.